RNAcentral lists this ribosomal RNA (721 nucleotides) under Scutellospora calospora. RNAcentral's name for it is "SSU rRNA". It matches the Rfam family "Eukaryotic small subunit ribosomal RNA", at positions 370 to 1095 of the family's 1831-position model. The record is from RNAcentral. Lineage: Eukaryota; Fungi; Glomeromycota; Glomeromycetes; Diversisporales; Gigasporaceae.
UUAGGGUUCGAUUCCGGAGAGGGAGCCUGAGAAACGGCUACCACAUCCAAGGAAGGCAGCAGGCGCGCAAAUUACCCAAUCCCGACACGGGGAGGUAGUGACAAUAAAUAACAAUACAGGGCUCUUACGGGUCUUGUAAUUGGAAUGAGUACAAUUUAAAUCCCUUAACGAGGAACAAUUGGAGGGCAAGUCUGGUGCCAGCAGCCGCGGUAAUUCCAGCUCCAAUAGCGUAUAUUAAAGUUGUUGCAGUUAAAAAGCUCGUAGUUGAAUUUCGGGAUUCUACCGUUGGUCGGGCUAACAAGUCUGUACUGGUGUGUAGAAUUUCUACCUUCUGGGGAACUAUCAUGUUAUUAAUUUAGCGUGGUGGGAAACCAGGACCUUUACCUUGAAAAAAUUAGAGUGUUCAAAGCAGGCUUACGUCUGAAUACAUUAGCAUGGAAUAAUAGAAUAGGACGGUGGUCCUGUUUUGUUGGUUUCUGCAAUCACCGUAAUGAUUAAUAGGGAUAGUUGGGGGCAUUAGUAUUCAAUUGUCAGAGGUGAAUUCUUGGAUUUAUUGAAGACUAACUUCUGCGAAAGCAUUUGCCAAGGAUGUUUUCAUUAAUCAGAACGAAAGUUAGGGGAUCGAAGACGAUCAGAUACCGUCGUAGUCUUAACCAUAAACUAUGCCGACUAGGGAUCGGACGAUGUUAAAUUUUAUUGACUCGUUCGGCGCCUUACGCUC